GACGAACGCUGGCGGCGUGCUUAACACAUGCAAGUCGAACGGAAAGGCCCUGCUUGCAGGGUACUCGAGUGGCGAACGGGUGAGUAACACGUGGGUGAUCUGCCCUGCACUUCGGGAUAAGCCUGGGAAACUGGGUCUAAUACCGGAUAGGAGCCAUUUUUAGUGUGAUGGUUGGAAAGUUUUUUCGGUGUAGGAUGAGCUCGCGGCCUAUCAGCUUGUUGGUGGGGUAAUGGCCUACCAAGGCGGCGACGGGUAGCCGGCCCGGGAGGGUGGACGGCCACAGUGGGACUGGGACACGGCCCAGACUCCUACGGGAGGGAGCAGUGGGGAAGAUUGCACAAUGGGCGCAAGCCUGAUGCAGCGACGCCGCGGGGGGGAUGACGGCCUUCGGGUUGUAAACGCCUUUCGCUAGGGACGAAGCUUUUUGUGACGGUACCUAGAUAAGAAGCACCGGCUAACUACGUG
RNAcentral lists this ribosomal RNA (465 nucleotides) under uncultured bacterium. RNAcentral describes it as "partial 16S ribosomal RNA". It matches the Rfam family "Bacterial small subunit ribosomal RNA", at positions 28 to 507 of the family's 1533-position model. The record is from RNAcentral.